RNAcentral lists this ribosomal RNA (431 nucleotides) under uncultured Clostridium sp. RNAcentral describes it as "bacterial SSU rRNA". It matches the Rfam family "Bacterial small subunit ribosomal RNA", at positions 958 to 1392 of the family's 1533-position model. Lineage: Bacteria; Bacillati; Bacillota; Clostridia; Eubacteriales; Clostridiaceae. The record is from RNAcentral.
AACGCGAAGAACCUUACCUAGACUUGACAUCUCCUGAAUAAUCCGUAAUGGGACGAAGCCCUUCGGGGCAGGAAGACAGGUGGUGCAUGGUUGUCGUCAGCUCGUGUCGUGAGAUGUUGGGUUAAGUCCCGCAACGAGCGCAACCCUUGUUGUUAGUUGCUACCAUUAAGUUGAGCACUCUAACGAGACUGCCGCGGUUAACGCGGAGGAAGGUGGGGAUGACGUCAAAUCAUCAUGCCCCUUAUGUCUAGGGCUACACACGUGCUACAAUGGUGAGUACAACGAGAUGCAAAACCGCGAGGUGGAGCCAAACUCAAAAACUCAUCCCAGUUCGGAUUGUAGGCUGCAACUCGCCUACAUGAAGCCGGAGUUGCUAGUAAUCGCGAAUCAGAAUGUCGCGGUGAAUACGUUCCCGGGCCUUGUACACACCG